RNAcentral lists this long non-coding RNA (410 nucleotides) under Dermacentor andersoni. RNAcentral describes it as "uncharacterized LOC126543013". Lineage: Eukaryota; Metazoa; Arthropoda; Arachnida; Ixodida; Ixodidae. The record is from RNAcentral.
AUCAAGGUAAGUCUACUGAAAUCACAAAAUUUGAAACAAUAAGCGCUAAUAGUUGUGUUUUCUUUUAAAUUUUAGGCCUUGAUUGUUCAACGAGACGGCCCCCGUCGUGCUGGUUUUCAAGGUGCUCCCUCGCUGCCUAGAAGAUGCUGAUGCGGAAUAGAAAAUGCAAAAACGUCGCUUGCUCAACCGCAAAUUGACGGCUACGCUGAAGCGCAUGCCGUGUCUGCGGAAUUUGAACCCCGAGCUUUCCAGAGUUCCUUGGAAAAUCCUCCCAUGCACCUGCCAUGUACAUUGCCCUCCUCCUCGAUGUGGCGUGCAAGAUGGCAGCAGCAGCUGUGGGAACAGUUGAAGAGGCGAAGAAAGGUCCACUUUAUAAUAGGUUGUAUGUAAAUAAAACUGAUCGACCUCAA